UUUUGGACAAUGGGCGCAAGCCUGAUCCAGCCAUGCCGCGUGAGUGAAGAAGGCCUUCGGGUUGUAAAGCUCUUUCGGCGGGGACGAAACGGUUCGUGCUAAUACCACGGACUACUGACGGUACCCGCAGAAGAAGCACCGGCUAACUACGUGCCAGCAGCCGCGGUAAUACGUAGGGUGCAGGCGUUAAUCGGAAUUACUGGGCGUAAAGCGUGCGCAGGCGGUUUGUUAAGACAGGUGUGAAAUCCCCGGGCUUAACCUGGGAAUUGCGCUUGUAACUGGCAGACUGGAGUGUGGCAGAGGGGGGUGGAAUUCCAAGUGUAGCAGUGAAAUGCGUAGAUAUUUGGAGGAACACCGAUGGCGAAGGCAGCCCCCUGGGCUAACACUGACGCUCAUGCACGAAU
This 404-nucleotide ribosomal RNA is filed under the name uncultured bacterium. Its description in RNAcentral is "bacterial SSU rRNA". It matches the Rfam family "Bacterial small subunit ribosomal RNA", at positions 362 to 758 of the family's 1533-position model. The record is from RNAcentral.